GACGAACGCUGGCGGCGUGCUUAACACAUGCAAGUCGAACGGAAAGGCCCUGCUUUUGUGGGGUGCUCGAGUGGCGAACGGGUGAGUAACACGUGAGUAACCUGCCCUUGACUUUGGGAUAACUUCAGGAAACUGGGGCUAAUACCGGAAAGGAGCUCCUGCUGCCUGGUGGGGGUUGGAAAGUUUCGGCGGUUGGGGAUGGACUCGCGGCUUCUCAGCUUGUUGGUGGGGUAGUGGCUUACCAAGGCUUUGACGGGUAGCCGGCCUGUGAGGGUGACCGGCCAAAUUGGGACUGAGAUACGGCCCCGACUCCUCCUGGAGGCAGCAGUGGAGAAUAUUGCACAAUGGGCGGAAGCAUGUUGCAACAACGCCGCGCGAGGGAUGACGGCCUUCGGGUUGUAAACCGCUUUCCCCUGUGACGAAGCGUGAGUGACGGUAAUGGGUAAAGAAGCACCGGCUAACUACGUG
Molecule: ribosomal RNA, 468 nt
Filed under: uncultured bacterium
Lineage: Bacteria
Description: partial 16S ribosomal RNA
Rfam family: Bacterial small subunit ribosomal RNA
Source: RNAcentral